Molecule: long non-coding RNA, 1106 nt
Filed under: Penaeus japonicus
Lineage: Eukaryota; Metazoa; Arthropoda; Malacostraca; Decapoda; Penaeidae
Description: uncharacterized LOC122268111, transcript variant X1
Source: RNAcentral
GGGGGGGAGGGGGGAAGGGGGAAAGCUCUGUCAGGUUAAUAAUCCUUUUUAUGAAGUUUUUUUUUAUUUUUAUCAUCUCUUCCAUGUUUCAUCUUUUUUACUCCUUUUUUUAUUAUGUGGUGUCGUAAAAUAUACAACAACGACUUUUGAUAAGAGCAUAUCAAGCACGUAAUAAAUAAAACAAAAAGUAAAAAAAACAAAAACAAAAAAGAAAAGUAAGGAAACACAGAAAGAACUUCAGUCUCUCAGCAGAUAAAAGCAAUUACGAUAAACCUUAUCAAGCUAAUAUUCCUCUUAGGAAACCAGAAUCGAACAGUAACUAAAGAUACAUCUCGGAACACAAAAGCACAAAAGUUACUGCAAUAUUCAGUCAUCUUAGCACAGUGAACUUUACGGUAUAGGCCUACUCUCACAGCCUAAAGAUCAGUGUGAUAUUUAACGAUUAAGUCGAUGCUACUGUGAGUUCUAUGGUGAUGAAGAAAAAGCUCUUGGGAGUAUUUUGAGGUGCUGUGUACAAACAAACGAUUGAAUGAAGCCCCCAAAGAGAGGAAGACACGAAGCUCUCAAGCACAGAAUAUCUUGUAACCAACCAUCCCCAUCCUUAACCUCAUCCUAUCCGACCCUCCUAUCCUAUCCAACCUCCCUAUCCUAUACCCCCAACCUCGCCCCCGUCCCCGCCCACACUCCCUGAGGAAUCCCUGAGGAGACGGGCGUUUCGGCGAAGGCGGAGACGGAAGGCGAAGGGAGAGUCGAGACGGAGACUCCUCGUAGCUAACAUCCCGACGUCGGCGAGCGAAGGCGAGUCAGUUUGAGCGAAGUCGCUGCCACGAACGGACGUGUAGCGCUGGUGCUCUCAAGAGGAGAAAAAAAAAAAAAUAUUAUCCCCCCCUUUCCCCCCACCCCUCUCUCUCUCGUCCUCUUCGAACGCCACGAUCUUAAUUUUUUUAUAUAUAUAUUUAAAACGAGACCCCCCCUUUUUUUAAAUAUUUUAUAGAAGUCCCCCCUACAUCCCUCCCUCCGUUGUGUGUCGUGAUACCUGUUGGUUGCGUUGUUGACUUGAAGCCAACUACCUGUGCUGUGUCGAACUCUAGGAGCGUGAUUUUCAC